Molecule: long non-coding RNA, 240 nt
Filed under: Prunus persica (peach)
Lineage: Eukaryota; Viridiplantae; Streptophyta; Magnoliopsida; Rosales; Rosaceae
Description: long non-coding RNA (PPER_LNC005811)
Source: RNAcentral
GAUCGGAAUUUGGAGGUCGUGGUCCCCGUGGGCCCGUUUGACCAGGGUUAGGGUAGUUUGACCAUUGGUUGAUCGUGAGUCUCCUGGAGUAAUCUCACCUUCCCAGGGGGAUUAUCAGGUGCUAGACUAUUGUUGGGGUCUACACAAUAUUAGAAUUAAUUUAUAUGUUUGUGUAAGGGUAUAAAAGAGUCUAGAAUGUCAGUUUGAAGUGCUAUACGCACUACCUUAGGUACCUCCCCG